Molecule: ribosomal RNA, 301 nt
Filed under: uncultured bacterium
Lineage: Bacteria
Description: partial 16S ribosomal RNA
Rfam family: Bacterial small subunit ribosomal RNA
Source: RNAcentral
CAGCAGCCGCGGGAAUACGAAGGGUGCAAGCGUUAAUCGGAAUUACUGGGCGUAAAGCGUGCGCAGGCGGUUUGUUAAGACAGAUGUGAAAUCCCCGGGCUCAACCUGGGAACUGCAUUUGUGACUGGCAAGCUAGAGUCUGGCAGAGGGGGGUGGAAUUCCGCGUGUAGCAGUGAAAUGCGUAGAUAUGCGGAGGAACACCGAUGGCGAAGGCGGCUUACUGGCUCAUACUGGACGCUGAGGUGCGAAAGCGUGGGGAGCAAACAGGAUUAGAUACCCCCGUAGUCCCUGUCUCUUAUAC